UUGUUCAUUUUUUAACCAAAACAAGCCAGCCCUGCUAAGACCUUGCAAUAAAUCUCUUUUUUUUUGCGCAAACUUGCAUCAGCCCCGUUUACUUACUACAAGUAAUCGGUACUAUUUACGCCGGCGAAUGUCCCGCUCGGAGCGGGA
Molecule: small RNA, 147 nt
Filed under: Atopomonas hussainii
Lineage: Bacteria; Pseudomonadati; Pseudomonadota; Gammaproteobacteria; Pseudomonadales; Pseudomonadaceae
Description: Pseudomonas hussainii Pseudomonas sRNA P14
Source: Rfam by way of RNAcentral